AGAGUUUGAUCAUGGCUCAGAUUGAACGCUGGCGGUAGGCUUAACACAUGCAAGUCGAGCGAGAAAGUAUCUUCGGAUAUGAGUAGAGCGGCGGACGGGUGAGUAACGCGUAGGAAUCUACCUAGUAGAAGGGGAUAGCCCGGGGAAACUCGGAUUAAUACCGUAUACCUCCUAAGGGAGAAAGAGGGCCUCUCUUGAUGCUCUUGCUAUUAGAUGAGCCUGCGUAAGAUUAGCUUGUUGGUAAGGUAAUGGCUUACCAAGGCUACGAUCUUUAGCUGGUCUGAGAGGACGAUCAGCCACAUUGGGACUGAGACACGGCCCAGACUCCUACGGGAGGCAGCAGUGGGGAAUAUUGGACAAUGGGCGCAAGCCUGAUCCAGCCAUACCGCGUGUGUGAAGAAGGCCUUCGGGUUGUAAAGCACUUUAAGCAGGGAGAAAAAGUUAUAAGUUAAUACCUUAUAUCCGUGAUGUUACCUGCAGAAUAAGCACCGGCUAAUUCCGUGCCAGCAGCCGCGGUAAUACGGAAGGUGCAAGCGUUAAUCGGAAUUACUGGGCGUAAAGCGCGCGUAGGUGGUUUGUUAAGUUGGAUGUGAAAGCCCUGGGCUCAACCUAGGAACUGCAUCCAAAACUAACUCACUAGAGUACGAUAGAGGGAGGUAGAAUUCAUAGUGUAGCGGUGGAAUGCGUAGAUAUUAUGAAGAAUACCAGUGGCGAAGGCGGCCUCCUGGAUCUGUACUGACACUAAGGUGCGAAAGCGUGGGUAGCGAACAGGAUUAGAUACCCUGGUAGUCCACGCCGUAAACGAUGACAACUAGCUGUUGGGAGACAAUGUCUUUCAGUGGCGCAGCUAACGUUUUAAGUUGUCCGCCUGGGGAGUACGGCCGCAAGGCUAAAACUCAAAUGAAUUGACGGGGACCCGCACAAGCGGUGGAGCAUGUGGUUUAAUUCGAUGCAACGCGAAAAACCUUACCUACUCUUGACAUACUUGGAAGCUCUUGUAAUGAGAGUGUGCCUUUUGGAACUAAGAUACAGGUGCUGCAUGGCUGUCGUCAGCUCGUGUCGUGAGAUGUUCCGUUAAGUCGGAUAACGAGCGCAACCCUUACCUUCAAUUGCCAGCACAUUAUGGUGGGAACUUUGAAGGAACUGCCGGUGAUAAGCCGGAGGAAGGUGGGGAUGACGUCAAGUCCUCAUGGCCCUUACGGGCCGGGCUACACACGUGAUACAAUGGUAACUACAAAAGGCGGCGAAGGAGCAAUCUGGAGCAAAUCUCUAAAAGUUACCUCAGUUCGGAUUGUACUCUGCAACUCGAGUGCAUGAAGUUGGAAUCGCUAGUAAUCGUAGAUCAGCGCGCUACGGUGAAUACGUUCCCGGGUCUUGUACACACCGCCCGUCACACCAUGGGAGUUGGUUCUACCUUAAG
Molecule: ribosomal RNA, 1420 nt
Filed under: uncultured bacterium
Lineage: Bacteria
Description: bacterial SSU rRNA
Rfam family: Bacterial small subunit ribosomal RNA
Source: RNAcentral